This 253-nucleotide ribosomal RNA is filed under the name uncultured bacterium. RNAcentral describes it as "partial 16S ribosomal RNA". It matches the Rfam family "Bacterial small subunit ribosomal RNA", at positions 524 to 776 of the family's 1533-position model. The record is from RNAcentral.
UACGUAGGGGGCAAGCGUUGUCCGGAAUCAUUGGGCGUAAAGCGCGCGUAGGCGGUCCGAUAAGUCCGCUGUAAAAGUCAACGGCUCAACUGUUGAAAGCCGGUGGAUACUGUCGGGCUAGAGUACGGAAGAGGCGAGUGGAACUCCUGGUGUAGCGGUGGAAUGCGCAGAUAUCAGGAAGAACACCGACGGCGAAGGCAGCUCGCUGGGACGGUACUGACGCUGAGGUGCGAAAGCGUGGGGAGCAAACAGG